Molecule: ribosomal RNA, 484 nt
Filed under: uncultured bacterium
Lineage: Bacteria
Description: partial 16S ribosomal RNA
Rfam family: Bacterial small subunit ribosomal RNA
Source: RNAcentral
AUUGAACGCUGGCGGCAGGCCUAACACAUGCAAGUCGAGCGGAUGAAGGGAGCUUGCUCCUGGAUUCAGCGGCGGACGGGUGAGUAAUGCCUAGGAAUCUGCCUGGUAGUGGGGGAUAACGUCCGGAAACGGGCGCUAAUACCGCAUACGUCCUGAUGGAGAAAGUUGGGGAUCUUCGGACCUCACGCUAUCAGAUGAGCCUAGGUCGGAUUAGCUAGUUGGUGGGGUAAAGGCCUACCAAGGCGACGAUCCGUAACUGGUCUGAGAGGAUGAUCAGUCAAACUGGAAGUGAGACAAGGUCCAGACUCCUACGGGAGGCAGCAGUGGGGAAUAUUGGACAAUGGGCGAAAGCAUGAUCCAGCAAGGCCGCGUGUGUGAAGAAGGUCUUCGGAUUGUAAAGCACUUUAAGUUGGGAGGAAGGGAAGUAAGUUAAUACCUUGCUGUUUUGACGUUACCAACAGAAUAAGCACCGGCUAACUUCGUG